GCCUUCGUAGCUCAAUGGUAGAGCGUUGACUUUGAAAGCCAAGGGUUGGUGGUUCGAUCCCGUCCGGGACA
The sequence is a transfer RNA, 71 nucleotides long. It matches the Rfam family "tRNA". Rfam says of the family: Transfer RNA (tRNA) molecules are approximately 80 nucleotides in length. The record is from Rfam.